This 499-nucleotide ribosomal RNA is filed under the name uncultured bacterium. RNAcentral's name for it is "bacterial SSU rRNA". It matches the Rfam family "Bacterial small subunit ribosomal RNA", at positions 8 to 518 of the family's 1533-position model. The record is from RNAcentral.
AGAGUUUGAUUAUGGCUCAGGAUGAACGCUGGCGGCGUGCUUAACACAUGCAAGUCGAACGGAACUUAGAUGAAACCUAGUGAUUUAAGUUAGUGGCGGACGGGUGAGUAACGCGUGGGUAACCUGCCUUAUACCGGGGGACAACAGUUAGAAAUGACUGCUAAUACCGCAUAAGCGCACGGAGUCGCAUGACUUUGUGUGAAAAACUCCGGUGGUAUAAGAUGGACCCGCGUCUGAUUAGCCAGUUGGUGAGGUAACGGCCCACCAAAGCAACGAUCAGUAGCCGGCCUGAGAGGGUGAACGGCCACAUUGGGACUGAGACACGGCCCAAACUCCUACGGGAGGCAGCAGUGGGGAAUAUUGGACAAUGGGGGAAACCCUGAUCCAGCGAACCGCCGCGUGAGUGAAGAAGUAUUUCGGUAUGUAAAGCUCUAUCAGCAAGGAAGAUAAUGACGGUACUUGACUAAGAAGCCCCGGCUAACUACGUGCCAGCAGCUGC